This 207-nucleotide ribosomal RNA is filed under the name Triticum aestivum (bread wheat). Its description in RNAcentral is "partial small subunit ribosomal RNA". Lineage: Eukaryota; Viridiplantae; Streptophyta; Magnoliopsida; Poales; Poaceae. The record is from RNAcentral.
AUGCGCCGUCGCCGUGGGAGGACCUCGUUGGCGCCGCGAAGGGGGCACAGCUCAGGUUGGGUACGCCGUCGGCCAUCGCCGGCAGCGAGCACGCUCCACUGUGACAUGUCCGCCACAGCCAGUCCUCUCCCGCCUCCCCCGACUCCGUGUCCUUGUCCAACGCAAAUCAAUGGAGCUGCCGACUCAGAUUGUUGUUGGCUGCUAUAA